CCCUAGUCCCUUGAUAAGCACAUAAUCACGAAAAGGUCCUCACAUAAAAGUAAGUUCUUUUUCAACCCUCAAUCUUUUAUAAAUUUAUCAAACAAACCCCAAGACUUUUAAAACACAAGUUUAACCCAAAACUUCUAAACAUAUUGUGUUUUAGGCCCUAAAAUUAUUUUCAUACAAUUUUCAUCCCUAAAACACAUUCACAACUAGAUCCCCAAAUAGUUUAUAAAACCUUUCAGCUCAAAAAAUAAUAUACUCAUAAAAAGUUUUAAUUCCAAACUUAAAAUCCUCAUGAUGCUCUCGGCCCUUUUCUUUAAAUGUCAAGGUAAAUAUUUCUUCCAAAACUAAUAGUACACAAGUGAGACAAAUGCAAAAACCAUGAGGAAAACUAGUUUUAAAGUUUAUAAUCACUUCUGGGAAAGGAACACUUUUCAAAACUCAACUUUUUCUCCACAUGAAACUAUUACCAUCAGCCCUUUUGAAAUCAAAAGAGCAAAACCAUCUUUAAAAGAGAAAUAGCCACACAGUAAAGGAAAACUAGAAACAAUAGAAGUUAGGAGCUGUUUUAGAAGGAUUUAAUACCGAAACAAAAGCCAAUAGUAUUAAUUAGAAGCAACCUAUGGUGAUGGUGGCCAGCGGUGGCUGUGGUGCUCGCGUGUCCAUGGCUGUUUGGAGUGGCCAUGGUUGGAGCUUUUGUGUGUGGUGGUGGUGGCUCAUGGCUGGUUGUCCAUGGAGAAGAAAGGGAGAAGGAGCAGAAAUGGGUCUGCUGAAGAAAGAAAGAAAACGUGAAAGAGAAGAAGAAAAUGGGUCUGGCGUUGGGAGAAAGAAAAGAAACGAGAGUGUAAGGUGAUAUGCUGGAGAAGAUAUUUUCAUGAACAAGUGGGGGGCCGUGGGUCAUGAGUCAGAAAUUGAGAAAGAAUAGAAUAAGGAACUUAGUAAGAGAGAAUUAUAAAAUAUUUGUGGAAAUCAUCAGAAUGUGAAACGUGGAGUAAGCAUAGCCAAGGUAAAAGAAUAUUCCAAGUUUUGUGGGUGUGAGUUGAUAUGGGUAGUGUAGGAUUUAACUCAUAGAGCUUAAGAGAAAAAUAUAAGCAUGAUAUAUUACUAUAUUAAAAAUUAUGAAGGACUCUAUGAAAUGAUAAAAUAUAAAUUUGGAUCACUUUGGGUAAAAUAAAACGAUACAUCGACAAGAAAAUGAGUAAAAACUGAGCUAAAGAAUAACUGUUAGACAAUUCUAAGUAUCGAUCCAAGAAAGGACGACACUUGCAUCGGGUUCAUUUAAGUGAGAAAAUGGCUUGAACGCAGUAUGCUUCAAAAUAUAUCGCAAAACUACUUUUUGCAAUUGAUGUCGGAUGAGAAAACUUCCUUUUGAAGAAAGAUUGGAAACGUCGAAACAAAUCUGGCAGCGCGGACGGAAACUUCGUUAAAAGUCCCGAAUAGAAAAAGUCUUCAUUCAGCGCUUGAAUCUAGGGUUUCGAAGCAAAGAAAUUAGCGUCGUCGGACUUCCGAAAAGUGAAUACUAUCGUGCGUACAGUCCAGGGUUCCGAAAUGAAACGCUGGUCGAAGGAAAAAUAAAGAGAAUCUUUAAAUUUUCCAAAGAUUUGAAAUCUCACUUGAAACGUUGCUCUAGAAGCGAAAUAACCUAUUCUGGACACGCUCGCCAUAAGGCAGGUGUGCAGACGAAUCGCACUAACUUCGAAAGCAACUACGCAACAUUCCUCAAGCAAUUCCUGAACUUUCUUCUUCAUUAAUCUUUCUCAAAUAUCAAACUCCUGUCACGCUUACACUGAUUUUACGCGUGAGUCGGAAAUUAACUUGUUCUGCAAAUCCAGGUCUUACAAUACUCCCCUCCAAAAAGAAAGUUUCGUCCUCGAAACUCAGAGUUCUGCAAAAAGUCCGGGAUACAGUUCCUCGAUCUUAUCUCCCAAUUCUCAUGUAGUAUUGCCCAUGUCAUUGUUCCUCAUAACCUUUACUUAAGCAAUCUGUUCUCCCCUUAAUUGUUUCACUCUUCUAUCCCCACUGCUAACUGUCGGCGUCUCCAAAGACAAACCAUCAUUCAACUUCAUGUCGUCUGACUCGAGUACUUGCGUCGGAUCUCUGCUUGAAAUGAUACCGGUUGGCACUCCGUGCAGUCGCACAACCUUAGCCACUUACUUCUUUACUUUCGGACGUCCGAAAUUCUUCUUAAACUCGGUGCCUCUCUGUCAUUUCAAAGUAAAUACUCAACUUGUCCUCGAGAUCUUCAUCUACAGUCCAAAACUCCACCUGUCCGUUCGAUAACUCCUAGACGAAUCAUCCCCUUGGAAACCGCUAGUCCAUUAAAACACCUCCAACUUCGUAAUUAUCUUUACACACACCAAGAAAUCACACUUCUACUUAGUCACUAUUCGAAUUAAAGCUCGACUUAUGUCCUUAUUUCUUGUCCUUCACUAAUCUUAUCCCCUUCAACAUCAAUUUAUCAACAACUUAUAAGAUAAUCCUCUUCUUAAUAUCUAACAAUCCAGUAUUAUCGUCUUCUUCCUUAGAACUUCCCUCACUCAAACCUAUUUACACUUACUGAAAUCCCUAACACUUCGCACAAAUCGAGACUUAUCCUCUAGAAGAUCAAAUCAUAACUAUACCUCAAGGGACUUAACUAGCCACUUUAUCAUCCGAUCCUUCAACAUUCUGAGAUUUAACCGUUAUCGUAACCGCUAACACCACUAAAUCUCUUAUGUGUACAUGAAUCUCAGCUCACUAGGUCAACCUUAGCCCUAGGAUUCUCAUUCAACUUUAGUAAGAUUCACUUGUUAACCGUAAUAUGCAUCAUCAAAAUCCAUGACAAGGUUCCAUUCACCCUUAGACUCUACGGAACUUGUUCAAAUAUAAAAACCUCAAGUAUUCAUCUUAAUACUAACACUUUCCUUUCUGUAACUUGAUCAUCCUCCAAUCGUUCCAAUACUUAGUCUCUCGAUCAAAACCUGACAAGAGUUCAUGUCUCACGCGUUCGUGAUCAAACCGAUUGGCUUAAAAUCUAAACCUUCACUAAGUUUGGACCACCAAUAUCCUUUAACUCUCCAACACUUCUUAAAUGAAUAUUUAUUUCUUAAAACUAUAACUCCUUCGCUUACACAAACGACCUGAUAAGUGUCGUCAUGCUUUCACACUCACCGCUUGAUCCUGAUAUCCGUAAUCAUAACUUAUUAUGCUAACACCAUUCAAAUCUUAUCACAUGGUCGUUAUGUCCGCAACCUCAUAAUCAACAUCAAUCGAUCACCAACUUAUAACCAACCUUAACACUCUACACAACCCAGAAUUCCUUUACUUCAAGAUCUCUCUUAUACUAUACCUCAAUGGUCUUAACCCGAAACUCACCUUCAGGUCUUCAAUCUUCUAAGAUUCAACUCCUAUUGUCACACCUACAACCAUAAGAUCUCCUACUCGUACGCGAUUCUCGACUCUCAAGAUUCAAUCUUAACCCUAAGAUUUCAAUCCAACUUAGUAAAUCUCACUUAGUAAUCUUAGCAUAUUUCUUUGGAAUCCAUAUCAACAACCUCAAGUAUUCAACUUAUGCUAAAACUUUCUUCUUCCAACUUAAUCAUUAAUCCAAUACUUUUCAAGUGACAAUUCAUCUCUUAAGACUGUAAUGUCUCCACAUAUUAAUCAAACGCUUAGCAAAACUUAUUCCUCGAACUCAACUAUAACAAUCUAGUUCAGAGUUAAUUCUUCUCAAUCUUGCUACCAUCAAGCUAUCAUCUAAAACCUGAUUAAAUCCAACCUAUUUAGUCUCUAACAAUUCCACUCAGUAAUCACAUAACCUAUGACUUCAUAACUUCCGAGAAACUACUUAAUACUUUUCCAGCACUAAAUCUCUUGACUUAGUCUACCUCUACUUGGAGUAAUCACACGAACUAACCAAUCAAUGUCUAUACGACACUCAUCGACUUCCAAAGAUUUAAAUCUUAAUCUUUUACAAUCAAAUGCUUAACACGAACUUUCCUCCCAAAUCCGACUAAUCCUCAAUCAAUUCAAAUUCAUCUUACACAUCCUUCUAUCAAGGUCCAUUACCAGCUGUGAUUCCGAAUAUCACCCCCUCAAUAUUAGGUUGAUCAGGCCUAAUACAUCGAAGGUGGAAAUUUAGAAAAACCCACUGGAACAGUCAAUGAGUUCCUAUCCUCCAGUAGUCACAAAUAUCCUGAUACUAAAUCCUUUAAUGAUCCCGCUACGGAACUACACACCCUCAACAUAUCGCGUAUACUACCCAUACGGAAUGUCCCUAAGAUUCGUGCUUCAGCUACUAGCUUCCUCAUAAUCGCAUCGGUGGAAGACUACUUUCUAGACUUAGUGUGCUAUUCCCAACCUCGUGUAACUUCUAUAGUUAAAACACGAGCAACUUCGAAUAAGGUCCUACUAGGGAUAAUAAUCAUAAGAUCAUAGUCUAAGUAGUAAAUACAAGUUAGGCGCGUCAUACUCGCUUCAAAGAUAAAAGAGUAAGUUAUUCUAGAAUAAGAGGACAGUUAAAAUAUUACCAUCGUUCCCACGUUCCUCCUCGUUUAACUCCUCAGCUCUUGCUCCUUCCUUGGCAUAAAUCCUUUCCUCUGUAGCAAGUUGUUUUCCUUUCCCAACAUUCCCUGAUGAUUCGCCCUUGGGUGCCUUACAAUCUCUGGAUAAAUGUCCCGGUUGGUUGCAAUUGAAGCAUAGACUUUCCUUGAUCUUGCACCUACUGGCAGAGUGCCCGCUUUCCCCACAGUUGAAGCAUAGAGAUCCCCCGUCUGGACACUUGUUACUAUAGUGCCCCACUUUCCUACACCGGUAACACGUCACUGUUUUUCCCGAAAUCUUGUUUCCUGUCCCUCCGGUAGCAUCAUUCCCUUUCAUCUUACUGUCAGACGUUCCCUCCUGAAGUGUCUUGCAGUUCACAGCUAGAUGCCCCUCUCGGUUACACUUGACGCAUCUCCGUCCAACCACUGAGCACUUGUUAGCAAAAUGCCCAAACUUUCCGCAACGAAAACAUGUCACACCUUUAUCACCAACUGGCUUCCCUCCAGUAUCAGCAGUCGUUGGUUUGUACGCUCUUGAGAUGAGAUUUCUUCCCUCGGAACGCUGAUAUGGUCCCCACUAAUGGUAGCUCUCCCUUCCGUUGUAGCCUUGGGAACCUGACCUCAUUGGUCCCCCAGCUCCUGUUCGGUUCAUUCCUCUUUGUUGAUACAUUGCCGUCGCCAUCAGUCGUUGGUGAUGCUCACGUGCAGCCUCUUCAGCGCGUAUGUAAGCGUCUUCCGCAGCCUGAUUCAUCAUUGCCUCGAUCAGUGUAGCUAUUGCCUCCGCCAUCCGGUUAAGGUCCACCAUGCUAUAUCUCAUCAAGCGUCCCAUUAGUACUAACCAUACGGUAGCACUAGACAAACCAUUCAAUAUGGUUUAAGUAGUAACGCAAACAAUUAGAGCGAAGAUCGCUCUGCAGACAAUCAAUUUUCACUCUUUGCAGAGUCACACAACCUAGCACAGAAGACCUAUUCCCCAAAGACUCCCAAAAGACUCGACUAAGCUCUGAUACCACAAUGUAACACCCCGAUUUCCAGGUGUCACUUUAGUAACCAAAAAUAAUCUUUACGCGGAAAACAGGUAAUUUUUUUUCGUUUUCUUUCCUUUAAAUCAAAACGAUAAGGAAGUAAAGACAAAACCCAACUACUCAACUAACCGAUAUACAACAUAUGUACAUGUGCAGCCUCAGCUGCACUCCAUGUCACGCGCACUCGCAGUGACUCCAAAGCAGUGUGCCCGUAGGCAAAUAUAUACAGACCCAGAAGUGUAAGUGAGAAAAUUAUAAUUACAAACCACUAGGAGAAAGUCGGCCUCAAUAUGGCCUAAGCAAAGACCCCUAUGGUCCAACUGACUCACUGUGAUCCCUCAGUAAGAGAACCACACGAAAAGUCAUGCGUCGGAAACCUACCCGAUCCCAAAAGCAAAACGAAUCAGAGCUCUACACAAAACAUGACGCCUGCCCAAACCUAACCUCCCAGUGCCAAACCCACAACGAUCUGAAGUCGGCAAGUUGAAGCUCAACUCUAUGCGCCAUAGAACUCCUUUCGUCAGUCGUCCACGCUCGUCAGUCCGGUCCUCCAUGACCCUUCCCCGAUACGUCGCCCGGUGACCAGCAACAUCGAUCACCCAAGCGGUGAGGCAUCCCGAUCCUGCAGCUCAUAUCUGAUCCCCCCCCGAGGGAGAGACCACCGAGAACCAGUCGGCCAUCGAUAUCUGGCAGCAUGCCGACCGCCCAAACACAAACAUACAAACAAAGCCAAGGCGCUAGGGUCAACUCACAGCAAUAAGUACAUAUACACUCAACAUGUGACAGGGUAUAUAUAUAAGUUGUUAUAUAAGCAUAUAAGUAAUCCUAGCAUGUUAUGGCUCUAACGUUGCUUCAAUAAACAAACAGCACACAGUCUCAGUCAGCAUGAAUGUAUGCGUGAAAUGCACAAUAUGAAUCCGGAUUUGUGACGCGUUCCCGUUCGCCACAAGUGAAGCAUUCCCGUUCUUCACUAUGGAUGGACCAUUCCCGUUAUCCAUCCUGGAUGAAAUCCAUCCUGGAUGAACCAUUCCCGUUAUUCAUCCUUGGUGAACCAUUCCCGUUAUUCACCAUAUGAUGAACCAUUCCCGUUAUUCAUCAUUUAUGCAAGGUGAACCAUUCCCGUUAUUCACCAUGAUAUGCACAGGUGAACCAUUCCCGUUAUUCACCCGAUUGAAUGCAACGUGGUUAGCCAAACAACGAAUCGCCCUUACCACGAAAGUGUUUAGCUCACAACCCAAUCUCAACAAACCCAUGAGUUAGUGUCGGUCAAUACAACACAACUCGGAGUAAGUGUCGGUCAAUACAACACAGCUCCACCAACAAGAAUACACAAGGGUCUAGUGUCGGUCAAUACAACACAGCCCAAACAACAAGAGCGCUAAGUGUCGGUCAAUACAACACCGCUCCAACAACAAGAGAACCCAAGGGAUUAAUGUCGGUCAAUACAACACAACCCCAUCAACAAGAGUACGUAAAGUACUCGGUGACUUUCAAUCAUCACCAUAGCUCACCUUAGUGGCUUUCCCCAAUUCCAAUAACUCACAACAAAGGUCGACUUUUCCCCCGUCUUUCGUAAAUAUUUUCCCCUUCAGUUUUCCUAUACUUAAACAUUAAUAAAAAUGAUUUCAAUUCAGAUUAGUCAGGUUAUGAGUUUAUUUCUCAAAAUCUAGGUUUCCCAAGUCUUUAGUUUACAAAAUUCUAUUCAUUCUAGGUUUUCCGAAAACCAACCACCCAAAAGAAGUUUCCCGGGGAAAGUCUAAGUAAACCAACGAAUCCCAACAAAUGGCUAAGUCCCAAACCCCUCGUUUGAACUUGCCUAGGGUUGCUCAUCCAACCCGAAACAUCAAAGAUCACCAGAUCUAUGAAUCUCCACUCCGAAGUCGCGUCAAAACGCACAAUCCAACAAAGCACAACAUCACAACAUCAGUUCAUCAACACAAUCAACAUCAAAGUAAAUUAUAAGUCGAAUUGAUCGACGCCUAUCAUGCAUUCAUAGCUAAUAUAUAGUAAGUUGCCCUAACCUUCGGCGCUUUCCUUACUAAGUUGCGACUCAAAUGUUGGCUCACUUCCGUUUGUUCUUUGGCUUCGUCGUCAAGCGCUUCCGUCCUUCGUACCCUUCACAAGUUCACAUACUAAACCUUAGCCUCUAAAGUCACAUCUAAAGUUCCAGAACAAACUUAGCCAAUCUUUCUAGCUCACUUAGGCUAAAUGCACAAACUUUAUGUUUCAAGGACUAAAGUCCAAAGAUAAAAUAUUUGUGAGUUUUAAAGAAAGGUCCUUAAACACACAUUUCGCAAACAACUCCUCAACUCUUAAAUAAUUCAACCCUAGUCCCUUGAUAAGCACAUAAUCACGAAAAGGUCCUCACAUAAAAGUAAGUUCUUUUUCAACCCUCAAUCUUUUAUAAAUUUAUCAAACAAACCCCAAGACUUUUAAAACACAAGUUUAACCCAAAACUUCUAAACAUAUUGUGUUUUAGGCCCUAAAAUUAUUUUCAUACAAUUUUCAUCCCUAAAACACAUUCACAACUAGAUCCCCAAAUAGUUUAUAAAACCUUUCAGCUCAAAAAAUAAUAUACUCAUAAAAAGUUUUAAUUCCAAACUUAAAAUCCUCAUGAUGCUCUCGGCCCUUUUCUUUAAAUGUCAAGGUAAAUAUUUCUUCCAAAACUAAUAGUACACAAGUGAGACAAAUGCAAAAACCAUGAGGAAAACUAGUUUUAAAGUUUAUAAUCACUUCUGGGAAAGGAACACUUUUCAAAACUCAACUUUUUCUCCACAUGAAACUAUUACCAUCAGCCCUUUUGAAAUCAAAAGAGCAAAACCAUCUUUAAAAGAGAAAUAGCCACACAGUAAAGGAAAACUAGAAACAAUAGAAGUUAGGAGCUGUUUUAGAAGGAUUUAAUACCGAAACAAAAGCCAAUAGUAUUAAUUAGAAGCAACCUAUGGUGAUGGUGGCCAGCGGUGGCUGUGGUGCUCGCGUGUCCAUGGCUGUUUGGAGUGGCCAUGGUUGGAGCUUUUGUGUGUGGUGGUGGUGGCUCAUGGCUGGUUGUCCAUGGAGAAGAAAGGGAGAAGGAGCAGAAAUGGGUCUGCUGAAGAAAGAAAGAAAACGUGAAAGAGAAGAAGAAAAUGGGUCUGGCGUUGGGAGAAAGAAAAGAAACGAGAGUGUAAGGUGAUAUGCUGGAGAAGAUAUUUUCAUGAACAAGUGGGGGGCCGUGGGUCAUGAGUCAGAAAUUGAGAAAGAAUAGAAUAAGGAACUUAGUAAGAGAGAAUUAUAAAAUAUUUGUGGAAAUCAUCAGAAUGUGAAACGU
Molecule: long non-coding RNA, 8846 nt
Filed under: Lotus japonicus
Lineage: Eukaryota; Viridiplantae; Streptophyta; Magnoliopsida; Fabales; Fabaceae
Description: long non-coding RNA (LJAP_LNC001826)
Source: RNAcentral